YCGACGAUCCUACGGGAGGCAGCAGUGGGGAAUUUUCCGCAAUGGGCGAAAGCCUGACGGAGCAACGCCGCGUGAGGGACGAAGGCCUCUGGGCUGUAAACCUCUUUUCUCAAGGAAGAAGAUAUGACGGUACUUGAGGAAUAAGCCACGGCUAAUUCCGUGCCAGCAGCCGCGGUAAUACGGGAGUGGCAAGCGUUAUCCGGAAUUAUUGGGCGUAAAGCGUCCGCAGGCGGCUUUUCAAGUCUGCUGUUAAAGCGUGGAGCUUAACUCCAUCAUGGCAGUGGAAACUGAAAGGCUUGAGUAUGGUAGGGGCAGAGGGAAUUCCCGGUGUAGCGGUGAAAUGCGUAGAUAUCGGGAAGAACACCAGUGGCGAAGGCGCUCUGCUGGGCCAUUACUGACGCUCAUGGACGAAAGCCAGGGGAGCGAAAGGGAUUAGAUACCCCUGUAGUCCUGGCCGUAAACGAUGAACACUAGGUGUCGGGGGAAUCGACCCCUUCGGUGUCGUAGCUAACGCGUUAAGUGUUCCGCCUGGGGAGUACGCACGCAAGUGUGAAACUCAAAGGAAUUGACGGAAUCUC
Molecule: ribosomal RNA, 578 nt
Filed under: uncultured bacterium
Lineage: Bacteria
Description: bacterial SSU rRNA
Rfam family: Bacterial small subunit ribosomal RNA
Source: RNAcentral